GGGUGCCCAGGCGCGAAAACUUUACAAUGCCGGCAACGGCGAUAAGGGAACCUCGAGUGCCAGGUUACAAAUCUGGCUGUCGUGAUGCCUAAAAAGCAUUGCAUAGCAAGGGCCGGGAAAGACCGGUGCCAGCCGCCGCGGUAACACCGGCGGCUCGAGUGGCAACCGUUAUUAUUGUGUCUAAAGGGUCUGUAGCCGGCCGGGUAACUCUCUUGGGAAAUCUGGCAACUUAACUGUCAGGCUUUCAGGACAUACUGACUGGCUCGAGGCCGGAAGAGGUGAGAGGUACUUCAGGGGUAGGGGUGAAAUCUUGUAAUCCUUGAAGGACCACCAGUGGAGAAGGCUUCUCACCAGAACGGACCUGACGGCAAAGGACGAAAGCUAGGGGCACGAACCGGAUUACAUACCCGGGUAGUCCUAGCCGUAAACGAUACUCGCUAGGUGUCGGCCACGGAGCGACCGAGGUCGGUGCCAUAAGGAAGCCGUGAAGCGAGCCACCUGGGAAGUACGGCCGCAAGGCUGAAACUUAAAGGAAUUGGCGGGGGAGCAC
Molecule: ribosomal RNA, 550 nt
Filed under: uncultured archaeon
Lineage: Archaea
Description: bacterial SSU rRNA
Rfam family: Archaeal small subunit ribosomal RNA
Source: RNAcentral